CCUACGGGUGGCAGCAGUGGGGAAUAUUGGACAAUGGGCGAAAGCCUGAUCCAGCCAUGCCGCGUGUGUGAAGAAGGCCUUCGGGUUGUAAAGCACUUUCAGUGGGGAAGAAAGCCUUGGGGCUAAUACCCUCGAGGAAGGACAUCACCCACAGAAGAAGCACCGGCUAACUCCGUGCCAGCAGCCGCGGUAAUACGGAGGUUGCGAGCGUUAAUCGGAAUUACUGGGCGUAAAGCGCGCGUAGGCGGUCUGAUAAGCCGGUUGUGAAAGCCCCGGGCUCAACCUGGGAACGGCAUCCGGAACUGUCAGGCUAGAGUGCAGGAGAGGAAGGUAGAAUUCCCGGUGUAGCGGUGAAAUGCGUAGAGAUCGGGAGGAAUACCAGUGGCGAAGGCGGCCUUCUGGACUGACACUGACGCUGAGGUGCGAAAGCGUGGGUAGCAAACAGGAUUAGAUACCCUGGUAGUC
This 465-nucleotide ribosomal RNA is filed under the name Vreelandella stevensii. RNAcentral describes it as "partial 16S ribosomal RNA". It matches the Rfam family "Bacterial small subunit ribosomal RNA", at positions 338 to 795 of the family's 1533-position model. Lineage: Bacteria; Pseudomonadati; Pseudomonadota; Gammaproteobacteria; Oceanospirillales; Halomonadaceae. The record is from RNAcentral.